This 1407-nucleotide long non-coding RNA is filed under the name Nothobranchius furzeri (turquoise killifish). RNAcentral describes it as "lncRNA (ENSNFUG00015013063.1)". Lineage: Eukaryota; Metazoa; Chordata; Actinopteri; Cyprinodontiformes; Nothobranchiidae. The record is from RNAcentral.
AUGUUCCCGUCUCCAGCUCUGAAGCAGAUGUUCCCGUCUCCAGCUCUGAAGCAGAUGUUCCCGUCUCCAGCUCUGCAGCAGACGUUCCCGUCUCCAGCUCUGAAGCAGACGUUCCCGUCUCCAGCUCUGAAGCAGACGCUCCCGUCUCCAGCUCUAAAGCAGACGUUCCCGUCUCCAGCUCUAAAGCUGACGUUCCCAUCUCCAGCUCUGAAGCAGAUGCUCCCGUCUCCAGCUCUAAAGCUGACGUUCCCAUCUCCAGCUCUGAAGCAGACGUUUCCAGCUCUGAAGUGGACGUUUCCACCUCUGAAGUGGAAGUCUCCCAGUUUCCUGUCUCAAGUCUCCCAGUUGCAAGUGUUCCUGUCUCAAGUCUCCCAGUUACAAGUGUUCCUGUCUCCCCGUCUCCUGUCUCAAGUCUCAAGUGUUCCAGUCUCCCCAACUCCUGUCUCAAGUCUCCCCACAGGUGUUCCAGUCUCCCAAGUCUCAAGUGUUCCAGUCACAAGUCUUCCAGUCUCCCAAGUCUUAAGUCUCCCCACAAGUGUUCCAGUCUCCCAAGUCUCAAGUGUUCCAGUCACAAGUCUUCCAGUCUCCCAAGUCUCAAGUCUCCCCACAAGUGUUCCAGUCUCCCAAGUCUCAAGUUUUCCAGUCUCCCAAGUCUCAAGUGUUCCAGUCUCCCAAGUCUCAAGUGUUCCAGUCACAGUCCCCGUCUCCAGAGACCCUCGUCCUCCUCCUCCAAGACCCCCUAUCCCCAGGCUUUCCUGGCCCCGCCUCCCGUUUCCCCGUCUCCGGCCUCCUGGGCUUCCUUGGUCCCGCCUCCUGGUUCCCUGUCGCCGACCCCCCAGGCUUCCCUGGUCCCGCCUCCUGGUUCCCCGUCGCUGGCCUCCUAGGCUUCCUUGGUCCCGCCUCCUGGUUCCCCGUCGCCGGCCUCCUAGGCUUAUCUGGUCACCGGUCCCCUGGACUUCUCUGGUCCCGCCUCCUGGUUCCCUGUCGCUGGCCUCCCGGGGUCUACUGUUCCCCUCUCGCCCGCCCUUUUUGGGUUGUGUUUGUUGGUUCCCUCCGCUCCCUCCCUCUGGGUUUUUCAUGUCCUGUGUCUUGUCUUGUGCUUGUUGUUGUUUGUUCUUGUUUGGGUGUCUGGUAUCCGCCCCUUGGGGGGGGGGGGGGACUGUCAUGGUCUGCGUCUGCCCCUUCCUUCAUGUGCCUUCUGGUGUUUCUCCAUCCUCUCUAGGUGCUCCUUUUGUAUCUUCUAGCGCCCUCAUGUGUCAUGUCUGCGUCUUCCUCAUGUGUCUCCUGGUGUUCCCCAUUUGCCCUCUAGAUUUCCCCCCCUCAGACUUUCCUCUCCCAGGUCCUGUGCUCUCUUGGCCCCCUCUUACCCACGCCCCUGUAGUUUCUUUCUGUAGUGUUUUCCUUUAG